UACGUAGGGGGCGAGCGUUGUCCGGAUUUAUUGGGCGUAAAGAGCUCGUAGGCGGCUUAGUAAGUCGGGUGUGAAAACCCCAGGCUCAACCUGGGGACGCCACCCGAUACUGCUAUAGCUAGAGUCCAGUAGGGGAGUGUGGAAUUCCCAGUGUAGCGGUGAAAUGCGCAGAUAUUGGGAGGAACACCAGCGGCGAAGGCGGCACUCUGGGCUGGUACUGACGCUGAGGAGCGAAAGCGUGGGUAGCGAACAGG
Molecule: ribosomal RNA, 254 nt
Filed under: uncultured bacterium
Lineage: Bacteria
Description: partial 16S ribosomal RNA
Rfam family: Bacterial small subunit ribosomal RNA
Source: RNAcentral